AUGAAGGACGUGCUAAUCUGCGAUAAGCGUCGGUAAGGUGAUAUGAACCGUUAUAACCGGCGAUUUCCGAAUGGGGAAACCCAGUGUGUUUCGACACACUAUCAUUACGUGAAUACAUAGCGUAAUGAAGCGAACCGGGGGAACUGAAACAUCUAAGUACCCCGAGGAAAAGAAAUCAACCGAGAUUCCCCCAGUAGCGGCGAGCGAACGGGGAGCAGCCCAGAGUCUGAAUCAGCUUGUGUGUUAGUGGAACGGUCUGGAAAGUCCGACGGUACAGGGUGAUAGUCCCGUACACCAAAAUGCACAGGUUGUGAACUCGAAGAGUAGGGCGGGACACGUGGUAUCCUGUCUGAAUAUGGGGGGACCAUCCUCCAAGGCUAAAUACUCCUGACUGACCGAUAGUGAACCAGUACCGUGAGGGAAAGGCGAAAAGAACCCCGGCGAGGGGAGUGAAAAAGAACCUGAAACCGUGUACGUACAAGCAGUGGGAGCCUCUUUAUGGGGUGACUGCGUACCUUUUGUAUAAUGGGUCAGCGACUUAUAUUCUGUAGCAAGGUUAACCGUAUAGGGGAGCCGAAGGGAAACCGAGUCUUAACUGGGCGUUAAGUUGCAGGGUAUAGACCCGAAACCCGGUGAUCUAGCCAUGGGCAGGUUGAAGGUUGGGUAACACUAACUGGAGGACCGAACCGACUAAUGUUGAAAAAUUAGCGGAUGACUUGUGGCUGGGGGUGAAAGGCCAAUCAAACCGGGAGAUAGCUGGUUCUCCCCGAAAGCUAUUUAGGUAGCGCCUCGUGAAUUCAUCUUCGGGGGUAGAGCACUGUUUCGGCUAGGGGGUCAUCCCGACUUACCAACCCGAUGCAAACUGCGAAUACCGAAGAAUGUUAUCACGGGAGACACACGGCGGGUGCUAACGUCCGUCGUGAAGAGGGAAACAACCCAGACCGCCAGCUAAGGUCCCAAAGUCAUGGUUAAGUGGGAAACGAUGUGGGAAGGCACAGACAGCCAGGAUGUUGGCUUAGAAGCAGCCAUCAUUUAAAGAAAGCGUAAUAGCUCACUGGUCGAGUCGGCCUGCGCGGAAGAUGUAACGGGGCUAAACCAUGCACCGAAGCUGCGGCAGCGACACUAUGUGUUGUUGGGUAGGGGAGCGUUCUGUAAGCCGUUGAAGGUGUGCUGUGAGGCAUGCUGGAGGUAUCAGAAGUGCGAAUGCUGACAUAAGUAACGAUAAUGCGGGUGAAAAACCC
Molecule: ribosomal RNA, 1241 nt
Filed under: Citrobacter freundii
Lineage: Bacteria; Pseudomonadati; Pseudomonadota; Gammaproteobacteria; Enterobacterales; Enterobacteriaceae
Description: partial 23S ribosomal RNA
Rfam family: Bacterial large subunit ribosomal RNA
Source: RNAcentral